GCGCUACCACAGAGCAAGAAGGAUGAGACUAAUUUAAUUUUUCUCCUGGACAAUAAUUACCCAGGUAUGGAAACCCUGCUGCCAGAUGUAGAUCUCCAAGUUUACCACUGUGAAGAACAGGGCUUUUUGGAUAAGCUUCUGCUAUCAGCGCACUUCGGCUCCUCUUGCAAACUCCUAACUCUGUGGAGCGCUUCCACUGCCAAGCGGCUCAUUUUCAAGCAAGCGGUUGGAUACCAGCAGGAGGAACACCUAAUCCCAGCUGGAUGACCACUGCCAAUUGCACGCUGUAUUUCCCUUCAGCUUUAGCUCAGCUGGUGAGGCACAAUGCAGAGAGAAGCAUACAGAAG
This 347-nucleotide long non-coding RNA is filed under the name Calidris pugnax (ruff). RNAcentral's name for it is "lncRNA (ENSCPUG00000018326.1)". The record is from RNAcentral. Lineage: Eukaryota; Metazoa; Chordata; Aves; Charadriiformes; Scolopacidae.